Molecule: transfer RNA, 74 nt
Filed under: Candidatus Woesearchaeota archaeon
Lineage: Archaea; Nanobdellati; Candidatus Woesearchaeota
Also listed under: 1 other name
Description: tRNA-Tyr
Rfam family: tRNA
About the family: Transfer RNA (tRNA) molecules are approximately 80 nucleotides in length. Their secondary structure includes four short double-helical elements and three loops (D, anti-codon, and T loops).
Source: RNAcentral
CCCUCUGUAGCUCAAUUUGGUAGAGCGUCUGACUGUAGAUCGGAAGGUUCCUGGUUCGAUUCCGGGUGGAGGGA